RNAcentral lists this ribosomal RNA (497 nucleotides) under uncultured bacterium. RNAcentral describes it as "partial 16S ribosomal RNA". It matches the Rfam family "Bacterial small subunit ribosomal RNA", at positions 28 to 507 of the family's 1533-position model. The record is from RNAcentral.
GAUGAACGCUGGCGGCGUGCCUAAUACAUGCAAGUCGAGCGAACGGACGAGAAGCUUGCUUCUCUGAUGUUAGCGGCGGACGGGUGAGUAACACGUGGAUAACCUACCUAUAAGACUGGGAUAACUUCGGGAAACCGGAGCUAAUACCGGAUAAUAUUUUGAACCGCAUGGUUCAAAAGUGAAAGACGGUCUUGCUGUCACUUAUAGAUGGUUCCGCGCUGCAUUAGCUAGUUGGUAAGGUAACGGCUUACCAAGGCAACGAUGCAUAGCCGACCUGAGAGGGUGAUCAGCCACACUGGAACUGAGACACGGUCCAGACUCCUACGGGAGGCAGCAGUAGGGAAUCUUCCGCAAUGGGCGAAAGCCUGACGGAGCCACGCCGCGUGAGUGAUGAAGGUCUUCGGAUCGUAAAGCUCUGUUAUUAGGGAAGAACAUCUGUGUAAGUAACUGUGCACAUCUUGACGGUACCUAAUCAGAAAGCCACGGCUAACUACGUG